UACAGAGGGGGCAAGCGUUGUUCGGAAUUACUGGGCGUAAAGGGCGCGUAGGCGGCCUUCUAAGUCGAACGUGAAAUCCCUGGGCUCAACCCAGGAACUGCGUCCGAUACUGAAAGGCUUGAGUCCGGGAGAGGUGAGUGGAACUCCGAGUGUAGAGGUGAAAUUCGUAGAUAUUCGGAAGAACACCAGUGGCGAAGGCGGCUCACUGGUCCGGUACUGACGCUGAGGCGCGAAAGCUAGGGGAGCAAACGGG
This 253-nucleotide ribosomal RNA is filed under the name uncultured bacterium. Its description in RNAcentral is "partial 16S ribosomal RNA". It matches the Rfam family "Bacterial small subunit ribosomal RNA", at positions 524 to 776 of the family's 1533-position model. The record is from RNAcentral.